UGUGUAGGCGGGACAGCAAGUCAGAGGUGAAAUCCUACGGCUCAACCGUAGAACUGCCUUUGAGACUGCUGUUCUUGAGUCUCGGAGAGGUUACCAGAAUUCGUGGUGUAGCGGUGAAAUGCGUAGAUAUCACGAGGAAUACCCGUGGCGUAGGCAGGUAACUGGACGAGUACUGACGCUGAGGCACGAAAGCGUGGGGAGCAAACAGGAUUAGAUACCCUGGUAGUCC
This 229-nucleotide ribosomal RNA is filed under the name uncultured bacterium. RNAcentral describes it as "partial 16S ribosomal RNA". It matches the Rfam family "Bacterial small subunit ribosomal RNA", at positions 568 to 796 of the family's 1533-position model. The record is from RNAcentral.